UGGGCACUUCUCCUCUUUGCAUGUUUCUUCUAUUAUCCAUUAGAGGCACUGAAAAUUCGUGUACUGGUCAAUUUUGCUCGUGUGGUAACUUAUCUUACGCUAAUGUCGAAAGUACAAGAGGUGAUUUUACCAGCCUAUUUACCUUACUGAAAUAACAGCCGAAAAUCUUCCCAAAUAAUACACAGGGCAAACAGAUAUGCCAUUUAUAUACUAGGAAUGCACUCUCCGGGGGUUCUGCUAAAAACAUUAUGUAUUUUAUAUACGAAGGCGACCACUUUCCAUUGCCAUAACUAAUAGAGAAUUCGGAAGAGCUAUCGUCCGGUCGCCACACUUUCGUCAUUAAUUCCAACUUCUCGGGAUCUGAAUUCCACCAAAUUCUACACCAUAAUCAAAAGGAUAACACUCCUUCUUUUGGCAGACAAGCUCUCCACGAGAAACGUCUGCAUUUUAUGAAGCCAUGCUUCGCUUUUCAAGAUUUCGGUUCGAGAGAUCUGUACAAGAGAUCACACGCUCAAGCAAGCAAAGGCCUACUUUCUCAGGGGUAGUAUCGGGAUUUUAUUGUCAAUGAUUCACACGUUAUAGCAACCAAUCGGAACAGAGCUUGAGUGAUUCCGCGUGGACCCUAGCCAAUCGGUGAAGAGUUUGAGUAGUUCCAGAACACGCACAUAACUUUUAUACACGCGCAAAAUUUCUAAAUGGGUCCCCCCUCCCCCAAACUAGAUUUAUCACUCACUAUCAGGAGCAAUAUUUCCCGUGGGGGAACCGGAAAUGCUGUCUAAGCGCUAAAAGAAACAGCGAAACAACCAAGGAAGCAGGUCUAAUAUUGUUUAAAUAACAGACAAGUCUGGAUCCACCCCUGGAGUGUCAAGGGUAAAUGGACAGAUGAUGUGGACUUGGGUGAAGGAGAGGCGACUGAGCUCCACAAAGAAUACCUUAACCAACUGCAGUUUGUCAAGGGAUUAAGUCUCCAAGUAAGAACAGAGACACUAAUCCCCGACUUAGAACAACUACAUACCAUGCCGAUAUCAGCUUCUUAGAAGCAGGGCUGAGGCAAAAAAGGACUAUGAAGGAACCCAGCAUAAGCGAAGCGCAUCUGAGCAAACCAAGAUCGCCAUGUCGUGGAGCGUAGAAGGUUUCGAAAAGAUGUUGGAAAUGUGUAAGGGCUUGAUGAAACCGAUCGAAAAAAAUACCAAUACAGAGCUGCAUUCACAAGUCAAUAACCCCAAAAGGUAUUUACGACAAGAAACGGAAGGCACCCUCGCAUCUUCUUAUUUUUAUGAUCUCGGAGGAACAAAGAAACAGCAAGCCAUACGCCAUUCCAGUUCGUGUGGUCACUUACAGAUCAAUAAAAGAUAAUAGGGUCCAGGAACUAAAAGAUGAGUUGAAAGAGGCAAAGGAGAAGAUCGGCAUGGUUGUGUUAGGUAAUACAUUUUUAUAAAAAUAUAUAAUUAGUCUUAUUGGCGAGCAGUUUAUAUAAUUUGUAAAAUGUUUUUUUUAACAAGGUGAAAUACUAGAUGAUCACUAUAUGUCUCUUGUAUUUUCCAAAGUUUUUGCGACUGAUGGUGGAAUAAGCUCCAUACAAUGGGAACAACACGGCCAGUUUUCUGUUAUACAAUUGGUGAUGGUCGCUAAAGAUGAGGCAAGAAAGAUUUAAGUCCGAACUAUAGAACAAUAACUAAAACCACCUAAGUGCGUUUAUAUCAUAUAGCUAUUAAAAAUGGCAAAACACUUUAAUGAGAAAUAUCAAUUUGAUGAUUUGCCGUUACAUAAAGAGAAUCAACUCGUACAAUAUGGUCUUCAACUAUGUUCGAUAUGUAGAUGCUAUGAGCAAUUCAUAUCAAAGUAAAUGACACCCAACUCUGUAAUUCAUUAUUAUCCAAUAAUUGUCUCGUUAACUUGUAUACUAGGCACAUCCUAGCAAGUACGUCCAAUCCAAGCACAUCCAUGUGUACCCGUGUGAUGACCUACGGUGGGUAGCUUCCUUUAUGAAAGACGGGAAAACAUUUGAAGAGGCAAUCGCAUUACUGAGAAAGUUUCAUUUCCCGUUCUUUUACGACCCGCAUCCGUGGAUUCCUGCUAGGUACAUUGCAUUAUACUAUAUCGACCUAUUCAUGCCACGAAACUUUUAAAAAUGCGCCUAACUUUCACUCAUCUCGAUAAAUUGAGAAUGACCUUUUUUUAACUACAAAGCACUCAUAUAUUUUCCAUGGGAAAAGAUGAAAGUAAAAGGGAUUGUUUGAAGUCGUUGAUAGCGACUUACAUAUACAGACAAAAGGUCCAGACAUAUGUCGAUCAAGUUGUGGACUUUGCCCAUCAUCUGUACGUUCCAGACCAAGAAGAGUCGGGGGUGCAUCAACAUGCGAGAGAGGACCACAACCAUGUCCUUAAGCGCAUCACUGCUUGUCUGCGGGCCAGGAAUAUACCCGUCGAGAUUCCGUUGUUUGUAGAUGCAUUAAAGACCCUCAUACUGGUUUGACGUACACCACCUUAACCGGCCAGAUAAAGUAAUCCGUACCUGAUUGCGAACGCAUAUUCUCGUACGGGGUACUGCAGUUUAUGAUGACUCAUGAUGAUGGCCAUCAGAAGGAACACGAUUGAUGGCGACUGUUUCAAAAAAGGUCUAUAUUCUCAUUUUGAUAUCAUAAUCAGGCAAAAUACACUGCUUUUCUUGUUUUGGUGAUGUUACCAAUGAUGGCAUACCACGUACAUACCAAAGCUCUUUACAAGUUUGGCUGUUUGACAGUGUUUCUUUAUGAAGAUAUAUAUUUCUAAAUUGCAAUGUGAUCAAUGACGUUAUGGCACGUGACUGGUGUUCCGUCCCCCUUACCCCCUUUACAACUCAUUGGCUAGUUUUGUUGUAUAUCACAUUUCCUUAUAGAGAAAUUAAUUAUUCAAUUUUUGAUGAUGACGCCAUUGAUGACAUGAUACCACGUGACGUUUGCCCCUCUUGACCCCAAAAUAACUUUGACCAAGUUUCAUUUAUAUGUCAGUGAUCUUGAUUUGUGGAUGGUUGCUAUAGUUACCGCUUUGCCAACCACAAAUGUUUGCUCGACACAGUACAGUUAUUAAUAGUAAGUACAAAUGCUGAUAAAUGCUAUGGGAAAUAAAACAUGGAGGGGGUGGUCUACUUGACUGAUUUUGGACCUCAUCACAAGCCUAAAUUUUUCACCUGUAUUGACUUUCUUGGGUUUUUGCCACGUAUUUACUGUAUUUCACCCAAUUUCACAAGAUUUCUGUCCCAGCUAUGCGUUACUCAUAUAAUGGUUUUAAAAUAAACUGUUUUCAUAAAGUAAA
Nematostella vectensis (starlet sea anemone) is the source of this 3294-nucleotide long non-coding RNA. RefSeq lists it as uncharacterized. Lineage: Eukaryota; Metazoa; Cnidaria; Anthozoa; Actiniaria; Edwardsiidae. The record is from RefSeq and is a predicted model, not a curated record. The transcript is spliced from 2 exons.